GACGAACGCUGGCGGCGUGCUUAACACAUGCAAGUCGAACGGAAAGGCCCUGCUUUUGUGGGGUGCUCGAGUGGCGAACGGGUGAGUAACGCGUGAGUAACCUGCCCUUGACUUUGGGAUAACUUCAGGAAACUGGGGCUAAUACCGGAUAGGAGCUCCUGCUGCAUGGUGGGGGUUGGAAAGUUUCGGCGGUUGGGGAUGGACUCGCGGCUUAUCAGCUUGUUGGUGGGGUAGUGGCUUACCAAGGCUUUGACGGGUAGCCGGCCUGAGAGGGUGACCGGCCACAUUGGGACUGAGAUACGGCCCAGACUACAACGGGAGGCAGCGGUGGGGAAUAGUGCACAAUGGGCGGAAGCAUGAUGCAGCAACGCCGCGUGCGGGAUGACGGCCUUCGGGUAGUAAACCGCUUUCGCCUGUGACGAAGCGUGAGUGACGGUAAUGGGUAAAGAAGCACCGGCUAACUACGUG
Molecule: ribosomal RNA, 468 nt
Filed under: uncultured bacterium
Lineage: Bacteria
Description: partial 16S ribosomal RNA
Rfam family: Bacterial small subunit ribosomal RNA
Source: RNAcentral